AUCGCCAUUUGGUUAUAUCAGUAUUCGGAUCUGAUCUAAUUACAUAUAUGUUAAUGUAUUAUGCCUGCUAGCUUAGACCACUGUCAUAGAUUAAUUUCUGAUUGAAACUAUGUCAAAUUUUUGUGUCCAGUUUGAUCACAAUGGAUCCUAUGCAAAAUAAUGAAGGUCGUUCACUUGUAGUAUUUUUGGAUAUUAAGUAAAUAUCUAUCAAAUUAUUUUUCAAACAGGUGACAAGACAAUAUCAAAUUCACAAGCGCAAGUUGAUGAACGUGUGCAACGUAAAAGGGAAAGAGAAAAAGCACGACAUGCGUCAAUGACUCAAACAGAAAGAGAUGAAAAAAAUAAAAAAAUUAGGGAAAAGUAUCAUCAAAAAAAGACAGAAACUGAAAUAUCUGCUGGCUCAAUAGGUCCACCAUAAACAAUUUUUAACAACCAAACAUAGAAUAAAUAUUUGUUCUCAUAUAGUUACUUUAUCUUUAAUUAUUAUGUAAAUAGGUGUUGGGGUUGAAUCUAACAAGGAAAACACAGAUGCCAUGAGUCUAAAAAGGGAAAGGGUAAAGGCGUGAUUUAUGGCGAUGACUCAGGAAGAAAGAAAUGAAAAAAAUAGAAAGCGUCGUGAAUGAUAUCAUCAGAAAAAAAUAG
This 642-nucleotide long non-coding RNA is filed under the name Sorghum bicolor (sorghum). RNAcentral describes it as "long non-coding RNA (SBIC_LNC009891)". The record is from RNAcentral. Lineage: Eukaryota; Viridiplantae; Streptophyta; Magnoliopsida; Poales; Poaceae.